UUUUAAUUUUGGCAGAAAUAUAUGCGUUUAACUUAGAAUUAAAUAAUACUCUUUAGUAAUUAAAAU
RNAcentral lists this transfer RNA (66 nucleotides) under Virpazaria ripkeni. RNAcentral's name for it is "tRNA-Leu". The record is from RNAcentral. Lineage: Eukaryota; Metazoa; Mollusca; Gastropoda; Stylommatophora; Spelaeodiscidae.